Molecule: ribosomal RNA, 497 nt
Filed under: uncultured bacterium
Lineage: Bacteria
Description: partial 16S ribosomal RNA
Rfam family: Bacterial small subunit ribosomal RNA
Source: RNAcentral
GAUGAACGCUGGCGGCGUGCCUAAUACAUGCAAGUCGAGCGAACGGACGCGGAGCUUGCUCCUCUGACGUUAGCGGCCGGCGGGUGAGUACCACGUGGAUAACCUACCUAUAAGACUGGGAUAACUUCGGAAAACCGGAGCUAACACCGGCUAAUAUAUUGAGCCGCAGUGUUCAAUAGUGAAAGGCGGUUUUGCUGUCACGUAUCGAUGGAGCCGCGCGGCAUUAGCUAGUUGUUACGGUAACGGGUUACCAAGGCGACGAUGCGUAGCCGACCUGAGCGGGUGGUAGGCCACCCUGGAGCGGAGACACGGUCCAGGCUCCUACGGGACGCAGCAGUAGGGAAUCUGCCGCAAUAGUCGAAAGCCUUACGGAGCGAGGCCGCGUCAGAGAUGAAGGUGUUGGGAGCGUAAAGCUGGGUUAUUAGUGAAGAACACAUGUGUAAGUAACUAUGCACGUCUUGACGGUACCUAGUCAGAAAGCAACGGCUAACUACGUG